This 428-nucleotide ribosomal RNA is filed under the name uncultured bacterium. RNAcentral's name for it is "bacterial SSU rRNA". It matches the Rfam family "Bacterial small subunit ribosomal RNA", at positions 355 to 775 of the family's 1533-position model. The record is from RNAcentral.
UGGGGAAUAUUGCGCAAUGGGCGAAAGCCUGACGCAGCGACGCCGCGUGAGGGAUGAAGGUCUUCGGAUCGUAAACCUCUGUCAGGAGGGAAGAACCGCCACGGUGCUAAUCAGCCGUGGUCUGACGGUACCUCCAAAGGAAGCACCGGCUAACUCCGUGCCAGCAGCCGCGGUAAUACGGAGGGUGCGAGCGUUAAUCGGAAUCACUGGGCGUAAAGCGCACGUAGGCUGCUUGGUAAGUCAGGGGUGAAAGCCCGCGGCUCAACCGCGGAAUUGCCUUUGAUACUGCCGAGCUUGAGUCCGGGAGAGGGUAGUGGAAUUCCAGGUGUAGGAGUGAAAUCCGUAGAUAUCUGGAGGAACAUCAGUGGCGAAGGCGACUACCUGGACCGGUACUGACGCUGAGGUGCGAAAGCGUGGGGAGCAAACAG